GGCUGUGAGCAACACGCGGGGCCGAGCGCACGAUUCCACUUCGGUGCCGGCUGGAGCGGAGGAACCGGGUGCCGUGCGGCUUCAACCUGAAAGGGUGUGAAGCUGAGUUUCUAGAGCCUUUGUCUCCAUGAGAAAGAGCCUGAGAAUAAAUUUAUCGUAAAGGAAAUGGAGCCUGACAAUAUCAUUGGAGCACCUGGAUCCAGCCAAGCCUGAAGCCACUGAUAUUUAGCUUGUUUUGAGGCUUCUGCUGAUACCAACGAUGGGACAGUGAACUUCCUGGGUUGAAGGUAGAUCUGCGUGUUCCCUUUUAUCAAGGACUGCACCACAACUACCGUGGAUUAAAGCACUCAUUACCCUACUUCCCCUUGAAGAAGGAAGGAGCUGGACACAAACUGCCAAAUGAGAAGGCUUCCAGACUCGGAUUCAAUUACACCACCAGCUUUCCUGGGUCUCCAGCUUGCAGGCGACAGAUUGUGGGACUUCUCAGCCUCCAUAAUGAUAUUGGGAGCCUGAGGCCCCAGAGGGGAAGUGUCCCGGCCACCAGUCCAUCCACAGUGCGAAUCAGCUGGGCCACGUGAUGAAUUGAGGAAGAAAACUUCCCAGGGCCUUCGAAACCUCUUAGGUGACUGUGGAGUGAGGCCAUUCGCAGAACCACCUGCUUGGGUUAAGCAUCCGCCGAGGGCCUCACACGGUGCCACCUGCCUUACCCAAGGGUACAAAGAAGAAUUGUGUAAUUGGGGAGCUGAGACACCGGAGAAGAAACCAUUGGUGAGCAUCACAGACGUGUGUGCUCAGAUGGUGAAAUAAAUGCGGCUGCCUCUGUGCCCAUCUCUCCCUCUGCCUCUUCUC
Molecule: long non-coding RNA, 849 nt
Organism: Eubalaena glacialis (North Atlantic right whale)
Lineage: Eukaryota; Metazoa; Chordata; Mammalia; Artiodactyla; Balaenidae
Exons: 6
Source: RefSeq, a predicted model, not a curated record